Molecule: ribosomal RNA, 937 nt
Filed under: uncultured bacterium
Lineage: Bacteria
Description: bacterial SSU rRNA
Rfam family: Bacterial small subunit ribosomal RNA
Source: RNAcentral
GCNNGUCGAACGGCAGCACGGGGGCAACCCUGGUGGCGAGUGGCGAACGGGUGAGUAAUAUAUCGGAACAUAUCCGGAAGUGGGGGAUAACGUACCGAAAGGUACGCUAAUACCGCAUAUGCCCUGAGGGGGAAAGGAGGGGAUCCGUAAGGACCUUUCGCUUUCGGAGUGGCCGAUAUCGGAUUAGCUAGUUGGUGAGGUAAAGGCUCACCAAGGCGACGAUCCGUAGCUGGUCUGAGAGGACGACCAGCCACACUGGAACUGAGACACGGUCCAGACUCCUACGGGAGGCAGCAGUGGGGAAUUUUGGACAAUGGGGGCAACCCUGAUCCAGCCAUUCCGCGUGAGUGAAGAAGGCCUUCGGGUUGUAAAGCUCUUUCAGCCGGAAAGAAACGGUUACGAAUAAUACUCGUGACUAAUGACGGUACCGGCAGAAGAAGCACCGGCUAACUACGUGCCAGCAGCCGCGGUAAUACGUAGGGUGCGAGCGUUAAUCGGAAUUACUGGGCGUAAAGCGUGCGCAGGCGGUUUGGUAAGACAGACGUGAAAUCCCCGGGCUUAACCUGGGAACUGCGUUUGUGACUGCCAGACUAGAGUGCGGCAGAGGGGGGUAGAAUUCCACGUGUAGCAGUGAAAUGCGUAGAUAUGUGGAGGAAUACCGAUGGCGAAGGCAGCCCCCUGGGUCGACACUGACGCUCAUGCACGAAAGCGUGGGGAGCAAACAGGAUUAGAUACCCUGGUAGUCCACGCCCUAAACGAUGUCAACUAGGUGUUGGGGAAGGAGACUUCUUUAGUACCGCAGCUAACGCGAUAAGUUGACCGCCUGGGGAGUACGGUCGCAAGANUAAAACUCAAAGGAAUUGACGGGGACCCGCACAAGCGGUGGNNUAUGUGGNUUAAUUCNAUGCAACGCGAAAACCUUACCUACCCUUGACNU